AGAGUUUGAUCCUGGCUCAGGAUGAACGCUGGCGGCGUGCUUAACACAUGCAAGUCGAACGGGAAUGCCGCGCUGAUGCGAUUUCGGUCAAAUCAUGUGGCAUUCGAGUGGCGGACGGGUGAGUAACGCGUGGGUAACCUGCCUUACACAGGGGGAUAACACCUGGAAACAGGUGCUAAUACCGCAUAAGCGCACAGGGCCGCAUGGCCCGGUGUGAAAAACUCCGGUGGUGUAAGAUGGACCCGCGUCUGAUUAGCUUGUUGGAGGGGUAGGGGCCCACCAAGGCGACGAUCAGUAGCCGGCCUGAGAGGGUGGACGGCCACAUUGGGACUGAGACACGGCCCAAACUCCUACGGGAGGCAGCAGUGGGGGAUAUUGGACAAUGGGGGAAACCCUGAUCCAGCGACGCCGCGUGAGUGAAGAAGUAUUUCGGUAUGUAAAGCUCUGUCAGCAGGGAAGAAAGAAAUGACGGUACCUGACCAAGAAGCCCCGGCUAACUACGUGCCAGCAGCCGCGGUAAUACGUAGGGGGCAAGCGUUAUCCGGAAUUACUGGGUGUAAAGGGAGCGUAGACGGUGAUGCAAGUCUGGAGUGAAAGGCGGGGGCCCAACCCCCGGACUGCUCUGGAAACUGUGUAACUUGAGUGCAGGAGAGGUAAGCGGAAUUCCUAGUGUAGCGGUGAAAUGCGUAGAUAUUAGGAGGAACACCAGUGGCGAAGGCGGCUUACUGGACUGUAACUGACGUUGAGGCUCGAAAGCGUGGGGAGCAAACAGGAUUAGAUACCCUGGUAGUCCACGCCGUAAAC
This 804-nucleotide ribosomal RNA is filed under the name uncultured bacterium. RNAcentral describes it as "bacterial SSU rRNA". It matches the Rfam family "Bacterial small subunit ribosomal RNA", at positions 8 to 807 of the family's 1533-position model. The record is from RNAcentral.